UAAUACGAAGGGGGCUAGCGUUGUUCGGAAUUACUGGGCGUAAAGCGCACGUAGGCGGUUUUCCAAGUUGGAGGUGAAAUCCCUGGGCUUAACCCAGGAACUGCCCCCAAAACUGGAUGACUCGAGUCCGAGAGAGGUGAGUGGAAUUUCCAGUGUAGAGGUGAAAUUCGUAGAUAUUGGAAAGAACACCAGUGGCGAAGGCGGCUCACUGGCUCGGUACUGACGCUGAGGUGCGACAGCGUGGGGAGCAAACAGGAUUAGAUACCCUGGUAGUCCACGCCGUAAACGAUGGGUGCUAGUUGUCAGGCAGCUUGCUGUUUGGUGACGCAGCUAACGCAUUAAGCACCCCGCCUGGGGAGUACGGUCGCAAGAUUA
Molecule: ribosomal RNA, 375 nt
Filed under: uncultured bacterium
Lineage: Bacteria
Description: bacterial SSU rRNA
Rfam family: Bacterial small subunit ribosomal RNA
Source: RNAcentral